AAACUCAAAUGAAUUGACGGGGAGCACCACAACGGGUGGAGCUUGCGGUUUAAUUGGAUUCAACGCCGGAAAUCUUACCGGGACCGACAGCAAUAUGAAGGCCAGGCUGAAGACUUUGCCGGAUUAGCUGAGAGGUGGUGCAUGGCCGUCGUCAGUUCGUACUGUGAAGCAUCCUGUUAAGUCAGGCAACGAGCGAGACCCACGCCCACAGUUGCCAGCGUACUCUCCGGGAGUGACGGGUACACUGUGGGGACCGCCGCUGCUAAAGCGGAGGAAGGAAUGGGCAACGGUAGGUCAGUAUGCCCCGAAUAUCCCGGGCUACACGCGAGCUACAAUGGUUGGUACAAUGGGUAUCUACCCCGAAAGGGGACGGAAAUCUCCUAAACCCAUCCGUAGUUCGGAUUGUGGGCUGCAACUCGCCCACAUGAAGCUGGAAUCUGUAGUAAUCGUGUCUCAAAAUGGCACGGUGAAUAUGUCCCUGCUCCUU
Molecule: ribosomal RNA, 487 nt
Filed under: uncultured Methanosaeta sp.
Lineage: Archaea; Methanobacteriati; Methanobacteriota; Methanomicrobia; Methanotrichales; Methanotrichaceae
Description: bacterial SSU rRNA
Rfam family: Archaeal small subunit ribosomal RNA
Source: RNAcentral